RNAcentral lists this ribosomal RNA (1372 nucleotides) under uncultured bacterium. Its description in RNAcentral is "bacterial SSU rRNA". It matches the Rfam family "Bacterial small subunit ribosomal RNA", at positions 28 to 1381 of the family's 1533-position model. The record is from RNAcentral.
GAUGAACGCUGGCGGCGUGCCUAAUACAUGCAAGUCGAGCGAACGGACGAGAAGCUUGCUUCUCUGAUGUUAGCGGCGGACGGGUGGGUAACACGUGGAUAACCUACCUAUAAGACUGGGAUAACUUCGGGAAACCGGAGCUAAUACCGGAUAAUAUUUUGAACCGCAUGGUUCAAAAGUGAAAGACGGUCUUGCUGUCACUUAUAGAUGGAUCCGCGCUGCAUUAGCUAGUUGGUAAGGUAACGGCUUACCAAGGCAACGAUGCAUAGCCGACCUGAGAGGGUGAUCGGCCACACUGGAACUGAGACACGGUCCAGACUCCUACGGGAGGCAGCAGUAGGGAAUCUUCCGCAAUGGGCGAAAGCCUGACGGAGCAACGCCGCGUGAGUGAUGAAGGUCUUCGGAUCGUAAAACUCUGUUAUUAGGGAAGAACAUAUGUGUAAGUAACUGUGCACAUCUUGACGGUACCUAAUCAGAAAGCCACGGCUAACUACGUGCCAGCAGCCGCGGUAAUACGUAGGUGGCAAGCGUUAUCCGGAAUUAUUGGGCGUAAAGCGCGCGUAGGCGGUUUUUUAAGUCUGAUGUGAAAGCCCACGGCUCAACCGUGGAGGGUCAUUGGAAACUGGAAAACUUGAGUGCAGAAGAGGAAAGUGGAAUUCCAUGUGUAGCGGUGAAAUGCGCAGAGAUAUGGAGGAACACCAGUGGCGAAGGCGACUUUCUGGUCUGUAACUGACGCUGAUGUGCGAAAGCGUGGGGAUCAAACAGGAUUAGAUACCCUGGUAGUCCACGCCGUAAACGAUGAGUGCUAAGUGUUAGGGGGUUUCCGCCCCUUAGUGCUGCAGCUAACGCAUUAAGCACUCCGCCUGGGGAGUACGACCGCAAGGUUGAAACUCAAAGGAAUUGACGGGGACCCGCACAAGCGGUGGAGCAUGUGGUUUAAUUCGAAGCAACGCGAAGAACCUUACCAAAUCUUGACAUCCUUUGACAACUCUAGAGAUAGAGCCUUCCCCUUCGGGGGACAAAGUGACAGGUGGUGCAUGGUUGUCGUCAGCUCGUGUCGUGAGAUGUUGGGUUAAGUCCCGCAACGAGCGCAACCCUUAAGCUUGGUUGCCAUCAUUAAGUUGGGCACUCUAAGUUGACUGCCGGUGACAAACCGGAGGAAGGUGGGGAUGACGUCAAAUCAUCAUGCCCCUUAUGAUUUGGGCUACACACGUGCUACAAUGGACAAUACAAAGGGCAGCGAAACCGCGAGGUCAAGCAAAUCCCAUAAAGUUGUUCUCAGUUCGGAUUGUAGUCUGCAACUCGACUACAUGAAGCUGGAAUCGCUAGUAAUCGUAGAUCAGCAUGCUACGGUGAAUACGUUCCCGGGUCU